CUACCCUCAAGCGCGGCUUGUGUGUUGGGCGCUGUCCCCCCGGGGACAGGCCUGAAAGGCAGUGGCGGCGUCGCGUCCGGUCCUCGAGCGUAUGGGGCUUUGUCACUCGCUCUGUGGGGUCCGGCCGGGGCCUGUCUUCUCACCCCCAAUCUUCUCUAA
This 159-nucleotide unclassified non-coding RNA is filed under the name uncultured Trichocomaceae. RNAcentral's name for it is "sequence contains ITS2". The record is from RNAcentral. Lineage: Eukaryota; Fungi; Ascomycota; Eurotiomycetes; Eurotiales; Trichocomaceae.